UAGGGAAUAUUGCUUAAUGGGCGAAAGCCUGAAGCAGCAACGCCGCGUGUGCGAUGAAGGCCUUCGGGUUGUAAAGCACUUUUUGAGGGGAUGAGGAAGGACAGUACCCUCAGAANUAAGUCUCGGCUAACUACGUGCCAGCAGCCGCGGUAAAACGUAGGAGGCGAGCGUUAUCCGGAUUUACUGGGCGUAAAGCGCGUGCAGGCGGCUCGAAAAGUUGGAUGUGAAAGCUCCUGGCUUAACUGGGAGAGGUCGUUCAAUACUUUCGGGCUUGAGGAUGGGAGAGGGAGGUGGAAUUCCGGGUGUAGUGGUGAAAUGCGUAGAUAUCCGGAGGAACACCAGUGGCGAAGGCGGCCUCCUGGCCCAUUUCUGACGCUCAGACGCGAAAGCUAGGGUAGC
This 399-nucleotide ribosomal RNA is filed under the name uncultured bacterium. RNAcentral describes it as "bacterial SSU rRNA". It matches the Rfam family "Bacterial small subunit ribosomal RNA", at positions 355 to 769 of the family's 1533-position model. The record is from RNAcentral.